RNAcentral lists this ribosomal RNA (468 nucleotides) under uncultured bacterium. RNAcentral describes it as "partial 16S ribosomal RNA". The stretch from base 49 to 468 matches the Rfam family "Bacterial small subunit ribosomal RNA", at positions 39 to 507 of the family's 1533-position model. The record is from RNAcentral.
GGGGGGGGGGGGGGGGGGGCGGGGGGGGGGGGGGGCGGGCGGGCGGGCGCGGGGUGGGGGGGGGGCUGGGGGGGCGGACGGGGGGGUGGCACGUGGGGAGCCGGCCCGUGACUUGGGGAGAACUUCCGGCAAGUGCGGCUAAUCGCGGAUGUGAGCUCCUGCUGCAUGGUGGGGGGUGGGAAGGUUGGGCGGUUGGGGAUGGACUCGCGGCUUAUCAGCUGGUUGGUGGGGGAGUGGCUGACCAAGGCUUUGACGGGUAGCCGGCCUGGGAGGGUGAACGGCCACAUUGGGACUGAGAUACGGCCCAGACUCCUACGGGAGGCAGCAGUGGGGAAUAUUGCACAAUGGGCGGAAGCCUGAUGCAGCAACGCCGCGUGCGGGAUGACGGCCUUCGGGUUGUAAACCGCUUUCGCCUGUGACGAAGCGUGAGUGACGGUAAUGGGUAAAGAAGCACCGGCUAACUACGUG